Echinops telfairi (small Madagascar hedgehog) is the source of this 163-nucleotide small nuclear RNA. Its record names the gene U1. It matches the Rfam family "U1 spliceosomal RNA". From Rfam's summary of the family: U1 is a small nuclear RNA (snRNA) component of the spliceosome (involved in pre-mRNA splicing). Its 5' end forms complementary base pairs with the 5' splice junction, thus defining the 5' donor site of an intron. The record is from Ensembl. NCBI's taxonomy places the organism in Eukaryota, Metazoa, Chordata, Mammalia, Afrosoricida, Tenrecidae.
AUAUUUCUCUGGCAGGGGAGACACCUUGUCCACGAAGGUGGCUUUCCAGGGCAAGGCUUAUCCAUUGUCCUCCAGAUGUGCUGACCCCUGCCAUUUCUGCACAUGAGGGAAACUCGACUGCAUACUUUAUCGUAGCUGGGGACUGCAUUUAUUCUCUCCCCUA